RNAcentral lists this ribosomal RNA (211 nucleotides) under uncultured bacterium. RNAcentral describes it as "partial 16S ribosomal RNA". It matches the Rfam family "Bacterial small subunit ribosomal RNA", at positions 326 to 538 of the family's 1533-position model. The record is from RNAcentral.
ACGCUCGACACCUACGGAAGGCAGCAGUGGGGAAUAUUGGGCAAUGGGCGCAAGCCUGACCCAGCAACGCCGCGUGAAGGAAGAAGGCUUUCGGGUUGUAAACUUCUUUUCUCAGGGACGAAGGAAGUGACGGUACCUGAGGAACAAGCCACGGCUAACUACGUGCCAGCACGCCGGACGGUAAUCUGAGGCGGGGCGUGGACGAACGGCC